RNAcentral lists this long non-coding RNA (414 nucleotides) under Equus caballus (horse). RNAcentral's name for it is "lncRNA (ENSECAG00000047152.1)". Lineage: Eukaryota; Metazoa; Chordata; Mammalia; Perissodactyla; Equidae. The record is from RNAcentral.
GUGCUUAAAUCCGGCUCUACUGCUUUUUUCCCACCCCAACAGCUCUCUAUCAGUAGCCAAUCAAUGUUAUAUAAUUUUUUGGCCCUUCUGUGUGUGGCUGUGCAUGCGUGCAUGUGUGUACAUGUUCACAGUUCAAGCUGGACUCCUCUGGCUCUGCAUGUGUGUACACUUCUGGCAUCUGAGGGAGGCGUGUCCAGAUCCCCUUGCCAGGCAGCUGCCUUAUAGGAGCACUGGAAGCCAGGUAGCUGACUUUCCUCCGGGGGAAAAAAGAAAGAACAAAAGAAGGAAGAGGAGAGAGAGAGAGACAGAGAGAUGAGAGGAAAGGAAGGAGAAGACAGAAGCCAGGCAUGUGGCCGAGGGCCCCGCGCGCGGACUCGGCCGGGCUGGGCAGCGGCGUCCCGGCGGGCGGGCGGG